This 517-nucleotide ribosomal RNA is filed under the name uncultured bacterium. Its description in RNAcentral is "bacterial SSU rRNA". It matches the Rfam family "Bacterial small subunit ribosomal RNA", at positions 12 to 518 of the family's 1533-position model. The record is from RNAcentral.
UUCGAUUCUGGCUCAGGAUGAACGCUAGCUACAGGCUAACACAUGCAAGUCGAGGGGCAUCAGGGACUGUGCUUGCACAGUUUGCUGGCGACCGGCGCACGGGUGAGUAACGCGUAUCCAACCUUCCCCUUAGUAGGGCAUAGCCCGUAGAAAUGCGGAUUAAUACCCUAUGUUCUUCGUCGAGGACAUCUGAAGUGAAGCAAAGAUUCAUCGCUAAGGGAUGGGGAUGCGUCUGAUUAGCUUGCCGGCGGGGUAACGGCCCACCGGGGCAACGAUCAGUAGGGGUUCUGAGAGGAAGGUCCCCCACAUUGGAACUGAGACACGGUCCAAACUCCUACGGGAGGCAGCAGUGAGGAAUAUUGGUCAAUGGUCGAGAGACUGAACCAGCCAAGUAGCCGUGCAGGAUGACGGCCCUAUGGGUUGUAAACUGCUUUUAUGCGGGGAUAAAGUGGGGGACGUGUCCCUUUUUGUAGGUACCGCAUGAAUAAGGACCGGCUAAUUCCGUGCCAGCAGCUGC